UCCGAGUUGACCCCGGCAGUCUCUCACGAGUCCCCACCAUUACGUGCUGGCAACCUAGAACGAGGGUUGCGCUCGUUGCGGGACUUAACCCAACAUCUCACGACACGAGCUGACGACAACCAUGCACCACCUGUAUACCGAUCUUGCGGGGCGACGAUCUCUCGCCGUUUCCGGUAUAUGUCAAGCCUUGGUAAGGUUCUUCGCGUUGCAUCGAAUUAAUCCGCAUGCUCCGCCGCUUGUGCGGGCCCCCGUCAAUUCCUUUGAGUUUUAGCCUUGCGGCCGUAGUCCCCAGGCGGAGCACUUAUCGCGUUAGCUGCGCUACCGAGGGGGUCGAUACCCCCGACAGCUAGUGCUCAUCGUUUACGGCGUGGACUAC
Molecule: unclassified non-coding RNA, 376 nt
Filed under: uncultured Micrococcales bacterium
Lineage: Bacteria; Bacillati; Actinomycetota; Actinomycetes; Micrococcales
Description: contains 16S-23S intergenic spacer region
Source: RNAcentral